GAUGAACGCUAGCGGCGGGCCUAAUACAUGCAAGUUGAACGGGAUUGUUGGUAGCAAUUAUUGACAUGAGAGUGGCGCACGGGUGCGUAACACGUAUGUAACCUACCUUUAACUGGGGCAUAGCUUCGAGAAAUCGAAAUUAAUACCCCAUAACAUUUAGAAAAGGCAUCUUUUCUUUAUCAAAGCUCAGGCGGUUAAGGAUGGACAUGCGGUGCAUUAGCUUGUUGGUGAGGUAACGGCUCACCAAGGCUACGAUGCAUAGGGGGUCUGAGAGGAUGAUCCCCCANACUGGUACUGAGACACGGACCAGACUCCCUACGGGAGGCAGCAGUAGGGAAUAUUGGGCAAUGGACGAAAGUCUGACCCCAGCCACGCCGCGUGAAGGAUGAAUGCCCUCUGGGUUNUAAACUUCUUUUGUAUGGGGAAGAAAAUUCCGAACGUGUUCGGAGCUGACGGUACCAUAAGAAUAAGCAUCGGCUAACUCCGUGCCAGCAGCCGCGGUAAAG
This 506-nucleotide ribosomal RNA is filed under the name uncultured bacterium. Its description in RNAcentral is "bacterial SSU rRNA". It matches the Rfam family "Bacterial small subunit ribosomal RNA", at positions 28 to 525 of the family's 1533-position model. The record is from RNAcentral.